This 1175-nucleotide ribosomal RNA is filed under the name uncultured bacterium. Its description in RNAcentral is "bacterial SSU rRNA". It matches the Rfam family "Bacterial small subunit ribosomal RNA", at positions 8 to 1237 of the family's 1533-position model. The record is from RNAcentral.
AGAGUUUGAUCCUGGCUCAGAACGUACGCUGGCGGCACGCCUAACACAUGCAAGUCGAACGGAGUAGCAAUACUCAGUGGCAGACGGGUGAGUAACAUGUAGGUAUCUGCCCUUUGGCCUGGAAUAACACGAGGAAACUUGUGCUAAUACCGGAUAAGUCUUUACGGAGAAAGCUUUACGCACCAUUGGAUGAGCCUGCACUUGAUUAGUUUGUUGGUGGGGUAAUGGCCUACCAAGACUUUGAUCAAUAGCUGAUUUGAGAGGAUGAUCAGCCACAUUGGGACUGAGACACGGCCCAAACUCCUACGGGAGGCAGCAGUGGGGAAUCUUGCACAAUGGAGGAAACUCUGAUGCAGCGAUGCCGCGUGAGUGAAGAAGGCCCUUGGGUUGUAAAGCUCUUUCGUCGGGGAAGAAAAUGACUGUACCCGAAUAAGAAGGUCCGGCUAACUUCGUGCCAGCAGCCGCGGUAAUACGAAGGGACCUAGCGUAGUUCGGAAUUACUGGGCUUAAGGAGUUCGUAGGUGGUUGAAAAAGUUGGUGGUGAAAUCCCAGAGCUUAACUCUGGAACUGCCAUCAAAACUUUUCAGCUAGAGUAUGAUAGAGGAAAGCAGAAUUUCUAGUGUAGAGGUGAAAUUCGUAGAUAUUAGAAAGAAUACCAAUUGCGAAGGCAGCUUUCUGGAUCAUUACUGACACUGAGGAACGAAAGCAUGGGUAGCGAAGAGGAUUAGAUACCCUCGUAGUCCAUGCCGUAAACGAUGUGUGUUAGACGUUGGAAAUUUAUUUUCAGUGUCGCAGCGAAAGCGAUAAACACACCGCCUGGGGAGUACGACCGCAGUUGAAAACUCAAUGAAUUGACGGGGACCCGCACAGUAGUGGAGCAUGUGGGUUUAUUUCGAGAAUACCCCGCAGACCUUACCACCACUUGACAUGUUCGUCGCGACCCUUAAAGAAUAAAAAGAUUUUCGUCGGCCGACGAAAACACAAGUGCUGCAUUGGCUGUUCGUCAGCUCUGUCCUGGAAAGUUUGGUUAUGUCCGCAACAAACGCAACCUACAUUAUUUGGCCUCCACUUCUUUGGCACCUCUGCGAAACAUAGCGCACCGGUAUAGCCUUGGAAAAAGAGGGAUAGAAGAUCAGUUCCAUGCCCUAAGUGGUUACUAGGUCUCCAAUGGAUUC